GAGUAAAAGUCGUAACAAGGUUUCCGUAGGUGAACCUGCGGAAGGAUCAUUAGUGAACGCCCUCACGGGCUUAUAACUAUUCCAAACCUCUGUGAACCGUGCCCUUCGGGGCUAUUUUACAAACAUGGUGUAAUGAACGUCUUAUAUCAUAACAAAACAGAACUUUCAACAACGGAUCUCUUGGCUCUC
This 189-nucleotide unclassified non-coding RNA is filed under the name plant metagenome. RNAcentral describes it as "partial contains small subunit ribosomal RNA, internal transcribed spacer 1, and 5.8S ribosomal RNA". The stretch from base 1 to 52 matches the Rfam family "Eukaryotic small subunit ribosomal RNA", at positions 1780 to 1831 of the family's 1831-position model. The record is from RNAcentral.